Molecule: transfer RNA, 74 nt
Filed under: Otolemur garnettii (small-eared galago)
Lineage: Eukaryota; Metazoa; Chordata; Mammalia; Primates; Galagidae
Rfam family: tRNA
About the family: Transfer RNA (tRNA) molecules are approximately 80 nucleotides in length.
Source: Rfam by way of RNAcentral
GUGCCUGUAGCUCAAUUGGCUAGGGCGCCAGCCACAUACACUGGAGUUGGUGGGUUCAAAUCCAGCCUGGUCCA